This 459-nucleotide ribosomal RNA is filed under the name uncultured bacterium. RNAcentral describes it as "partial 16S ribosomal RNA". It matches the Rfam family "Bacterial small subunit ribosomal RNA", at positions 338 to 795 of the family's 1533-position model. The record is from RNAcentral.
ACUACGGGGCGCAGCAGUGAGGAAUAUUGGUCAAUGGCCGGAAGGCUGAACCAGCCAAGCCGCGUGAAGGACGAAUGUGCCAAGCAUUGUAAACUUCUUUUGUCAAGGGACAAAAUCAGGCUCGAGAGCCUGACCGAGUGUACUUGAAGAAAAAGCAUCGGCUAACUCCGUGCCAGCAGCCGCGGUAAUACGGGGGAUGCGAUCGUUAUCCGGUUUUAUUGGGUUGAAAGGGUGCGUAGGCGGGCUGUUAAGUCAGCGGUAAAAGCCCGGGGCUCAACCCCGGCGAGCCGUUGAAACUGGCUGGCUUGAGAUGUCGAGAGGUAUGCGGAAUGCGCAGUGUAGCGGGGAAAUGCUUAGAGAUUGCGCAGAACUCCGAUUGCGAAGGCAGCAUACCGGCGGCGAUCUGACGCUGAGGCACGAAAGCGUGGGUAUCGAACAGGAUUAGAUACCCCGGUAGUC